AUCCUUUUGUAGUUCAGUGUGAUGACUGGGUUUUCGCACUCAUAGCUGAGGGGUACCUCCCUCAAACCUGGUUACACUGACAUAUUACCCCGCUGACA
Callithrix jacchus (white-tufted-ear marmoset) is the source of this 98-nucleotide small nucleolar RNA. NCBI's taxonomy places the organism in Eukaryota, Metazoa, Chordata, Mammalia, Primates, Cebidae. The record is from Ensembl.